UACGGAGGGAGCUAGCGUUGUUCGGAAUUACUGGGCGUAAAGCGCGCGUAGGCGGCUUUGCAAGUUAGAGGUGAAAGCCCGGGGCUCAACCCCGGAACUGCCUUUAAGACUGCAUCGCUUGAAUCCGGGAGAGGUGAGUGGAAUUCCGAGUGUAGAGGUGAAAUUCGUAGAUAUUCGGAAGAACACCAGUGGCGAAGGCGGCUCACUGGACCGGCAUUGACGCUGAGGUGCGAAAGCGUGGGGAGCAAACAGG
RNAcentral lists this ribosomal RNA (253 nucleotides) under uncultured bacterium. Its description in RNAcentral is "partial 16S ribosomal RNA". It matches the Rfam family "Bacterial small subunit ribosomal RNA", at positions 524 to 776 of the family's 1533-position model. The record is from RNAcentral.